GAUGAACGCUAGCGGCAGGCCUAACACAUGCAAGUCGAGGGGUAACAGGAGGUGCUUGCACUUUGCUGACGACCGGCGCACGGGUGCGUAACGCGUAUGCAACCUACCUUCUACAGGGGGAUAGCCCAGAGAAAUUUGGAAUAAUACCCCAUACGAUCAUUAAUUGGCAUCGAUUGAUGAAGAAAACUUUUGUGGUAGAAGAUGGGCAUGCGUCCUAUUAGUUAGUUGGUGAGGUAACGGCUCACCAAGACUUCGAUAGGUAGGGGCCCUGAGAGGGGGAUCCCCCACACUGGUACUGAGACACGGACCAGACUCCUACGGGAGGCAGCAGUGAGGAAUAUUGGACAAUGGGCGAGAGCCUGAUCCAGCCAUGCCGCGUGCAGGAAGACUGCCCUAUGGGUUGUAAACUGCUUUUAUACAGGAAGAAACUGUGCUACGUGUAGCACCCUGACGGUACUGUAAGAAUAAGGAUCGGCUAACUCCGUGCCAGCCGCCGCCGUAACAC
This 505-nucleotide ribosomal RNA is filed under the name uncultured bacterium. RNAcentral describes it as "bacterial SSU rRNA". It matches the Rfam family "Bacterial small subunit ribosomal RNA", at positions 28 to 526 of the family's 1533-position model. The record is from RNAcentral.